UACAGAGGGUGCAAGCGUUAAUCGGAAUUACUGGGCGUAAAGCGUGCGUAGGUGGUUCUUUAAGUCAGGUGUGAAAUCCCCGGGCUCAACCUGGGAACUGCAUUUGAUACUGAAGAGCUAGAGUGUGGUAGAGGAUAGUGGAAUUCCCGGUGUAGCGGUGAAAUGCGCAGAUAUCAGGAAGAACACCCGUGGCGAAGGCGGCUCUCUGGGACGGUACUGACGCUGAGACGCGAAAGCGUGGGGAGCGAACAGG
Molecule: ribosomal RNA, 253 nt
Filed under: uncultured bacterium
Lineage: Bacteria
Description: partial 16S ribosomal RNA
Rfam family: Bacterial small subunit ribosomal RNA
Source: RNAcentral